GUCUGCGUAACCCGUUGCUGUUACGGAGGGAUUGGAAGCCAGCUACUAGAGGAAAAUGUUUAACUCUCUCUCUCUCUCUCUCUCUCUCUAUUAUUAAGAUAAUCAUCAUUUAAUUUGGUUGACGGUUAAAAUAUUUACUCCACCUGGACAUUUAGCGUCCAUCAACGAGACCCCUCAGGAGACUAUAUGGGGAAUUUUCCUGAUCGUCCUGCGCAGUAUUACAAUAACUCGGCUCCUGCGCAUUAUUAAAAUAACCCGACUGCAGGUGCGCAGUACUAAAAUUACUCGACUUCUGCGCAAUCCAGAUACUUGAUUGGGAAAUAUAUUAACACGUGCAAUUCAGAAAUGUAUACGUAGAAUAGAAUCCCAAUGUAGAAA
This is a long non-coding RNA of Macrobrachium nipponense, 378 nucleotides long. RefSeq lists it as uncharacterized. NCBI's taxonomy places the organism in Eukaryota, Metazoa, Arthropoda, Malacostraca, Decapoda, Palaemonidae. The record is from RefSeq and is a predicted model, not a curated record. The transcript is spliced from 3 exons.